UAUAAGUUAAUACCUUAUAACCGUGAUGUUACCUGCAGAAUAAGCACCGGCUAAUUCCGUGCCAGCAGCCGCGGUAAUACGGAAGGUGCAAGCGUUAAUCGGAAUUACUGGGCGUAAAGCGCGCGUAGGUGGUUUGUUAAGUUGGAUGUGAAAGCCCUGGGCUCAACCUAGGAACUGCAUCCAAAACUAACUCACUAGAGUACGAUAGAGGGAGGUAGAAUUCAUAGUGUAGCGGUGGAAUGCGUAGAUAUUAUGAAGAAUACCAGUGGCGAAGGCGGCCUCCUGGAUCUGUACUGACACUAAGGUGCGAAAGCGUGGGUAGCGAACAGGAUUAGAUACCCUGGUAGUCCACGCCGUAAACGAUGACAACUAGCUGUUGGGAGACAAUGUCUUUCAGUGGCGCAGCUAACGUUUUAAGUUGUCCGCCUGGGGAGUACGGCCGCAAGGCUAAAACUCAAAUGAAUUGACGGGGACCCGCACAAGCGGUGGAGCAUGUGGUUUAAUUCGAUGCAACGCGAAAAACCUUACCUACUCUUGACAUACUUGGAAGCUCUUGUAAUGAGAGUGUGCCUUUUGGAGCCAAGAUACAGGUGCUGCAUGGCUGUCGUCAGCUCGUGUCGUGAGAUGUUCCGUUAAGUCGGAUAACGAGCGCAACCCUUACCCUUAUUUGCCAGCGAUUCGGUCGGGAACUAUAAGGGGACUGCCGGUGAUAAACCGGAGGAAGGUGAGGACGACGUCAAGUCAUCAUGGCCCUUACGAGUAGGGCUACACACGUGCUACAAUGGGAAAUACAGACGGACGCUAAGCCGCGAGGUGGUGCUAAUCCUAGAAAGUUUCUCGUAGUCCGGAUUGGAGUCUGCAACUCGACUCCAUGAAGUCGGAAUCGCU
This 888-nucleotide ribosomal RNA is filed under the name marine metagenome. RNAcentral describes it as "bacterial SSU rRNA". It matches the Rfam family "Bacterial small subunit ribosomal RNA", at positions 448 to 1336 of the family's 1533-position model. The record is from RNAcentral.